This is an RNA transcript of Papaver somniferum (opium poppy), 2066 nucleotides long. It is a transcript of the gene named pentatricopeptide repeat-containing protein At1g12775, mitochondrial-like, with no coding region annotated. The record is from RefSeq and is a predicted model, not a curated record. The transcript is spliced from 3 exons. Lineage: Eukaryota; Viridiplantae; Streptophyta; Magnoliopsida; Ranunculales; Papaveraceae.
CUACGGCAAUGGAGUAACUCAAAACCGGAGACUCAGUCAGAUUUAUCAUCAAAGGUACAUUGUAUUCCCGCUCAAACAUUUCAAAUCACUGAAUCUGAUAGAUAAAUUACACAAAUGAAUCUUCGUUUUGUGAGAAAUUAUCGUUGCACCAUAUCACAACUUGAGAGUUUUGUGAGAGACGAGUGUAAAUCUGGUAAAAUUAAGAAGCUUGAUGAUGGUUUGAGAUACUUCGAUCAAUUGAUUUCAGAAAAGCCUUUGCCGUCUAAUCAUACAUUUAAUCAUGUAUUUGGUUCACUAUCCAAAAUCAAAUGCUAUUCAGAUGUCAUUUUGUUGUACAAGAAAAUGAAUUUGGUUGGGGUACAACCCAGUAUAUAUACAUUGAGCAUUUUGAUUAAUUGCUGUUGUCAAUUAGGCAAAGUUGAUCAUGGGUUUUGUUUGUUUGGGGAGGUGUUAAAGAGGGGUUAUCAUCCUGAUACUGCCACUUUUAAUACACUGAUUAAAGGGUUGUGUCUUCAACAAAAGAUUGAUUUUGCAUUCAAAGUGUUUGAUAAAAUGGCUGAGAUGGGUGUUCAACCUGAUGCUAUUACAUGUAAUACUCUUAUAUCCGGGCUUUCUAAAACUGGAAAAGUUGAUCAUGCUCUUGAGGUGAAAAACAAGAUGGUUGAAUGGAAAUGCAGCCCUACGGUUGUUACAUAUUGUGCGACUAUAGAAACACUUUGUAAAGGAGGAUUAGUUGAUGAAGCUUUGGUUCUAUUCUCUGAAAUGCUUAAAGAUCUGAAUGUUGCACCCGAUGUAGUUGUUUACACUUCUUUGAUUAACGGGCUUUUCGAUUCAGGACGGUUGGACGAGGCAAGGAGAAUCUUUGACGAGAUGGUUAGUAGAGGAAUCUCUGCGGAUGUAACAACUUAUAGCUGUAUGAUUCAUGGUCAUUGCAUACAUGGUCAAUGGGAAGAAGCAAGAAGAUAUUUUAAUGAAAUGUUGGAUCAAGGGAUUUUACCCACUACAAUAACCUUUACUAUAUUGAUAGAUUCACUUUGUAAAUAUGGUAACAUAGAUGAUGCUGUGGGGGUAUUUAGAUACAUGGAGAAGCUAAAUAUAAAACCUGAUCGGAUUACUUAUAAUUCAAUGAUCAACGGUCUAUGUUUGGCAGGUCGGUUGCAAGAUGCGGCGGAACUAUUUGACUCGAUGGUGGAUAGGGGCCUUGAACCGAAUGCUGUCAGUUGCACUACAUUAAUUGAUGGGUAUUGCAGGAAUUGUAAGCUGGAUGAAGCUAUGUUGUUAUUCAAUAAAAUGAAACAAAACGGGUUGAAACCUACAACACUUACUUACAGUAUACUCUUAGCUGGGCUAUACCGAGGUGGUAGAAUAAAGGUCGCAGAAGGUAUCUUCAAUGAGAUACAAUCAUUUGGUCAAUAUCCAAAUAAAAUUACAUUUGGUACAGUUUUAGAUAGAAUCUGCAAGAAUGGAAAAAUUGAGGAGGUAGUAGAAUUGUUUGGAUCGAUGGAUGCUUCCUUUAUCUCAGUUACAUCCCCUUGAUCCAGUUUUACGCCAGCCCUGGCCGAACUCCUUUACGUAAGUUUUGGUUUCAUGAUUGCAUCUGACAUGUGGAUUGUUGAGAGAGUAUCUAGUAGCUGCCACUGCUUUCCUAAGGGGUUACUCAAUGUUUCUGCCCAAAACCUGUCGAAGAAGAUACAAGAAGAAUGGACUGCUACACUAAGUCAUAACUUCUAAGUCAGCCGAGUAAGUUGAGUAUAAAGAAUGACAAAUCUGAUGCUUGGAAGCUGGACCUGCAUAGUUUGGCAUGUACCUGCACUUUAUCUGACAGAUUGGUGUUUGAUGCCCUACCUUGAAUGCACCGUUGUUUGUGGCUAUCAAAUAUUCUUUGGCACAAAGAAGAGUACAUCCAUGGAUAAACACCCAAUCAGUACCCAAUUGAGUGGAAAGUCUCGUUUACCAAGAUGUUUUCACUUUCUUCUUUCUAUGUUCAAGGUGGUCUAGCUGCUCUCACUAACGGCUGUGCUAAAGGCUGGAGGUGGAUUUCAGGGAUUUUUGAUUCGAGUCCAGCA